RNAcentral lists this ribosomal RNA (468 nucleotides) under uncultured bacterium. Its description in RNAcentral is "partial 16S ribosomal RNA". It matches the Rfam family "Bacterial small subunit ribosomal RNA", at positions 28 to 507 of the family's 1533-position model. The record is from RNAcentral.
GACGAACGCUGGCGGCGUGCUUAACACAUGCAAGUCGAACGGAAAGGCCCUGCUUUUGUGGGGUGCUCGAGUGGCGAACGGGUGAGUAACACGUGAGUAACCUGCCCUUGACUUUGGGAUAACUUCAGGAAACUGGGGCUAAUACCGGAUAGGAGCUCCUGCUGCAUGGUGGGGGUUGGAAAGUUUCGGCGGUUGGGGAUGGACUCGCGGCUUAUCAGCUUGUUGGUGGGGUAGUGGCUUACCAAGGCUUUGACGGGUAGCCGGCCUGAGAGGGUGACCGGCCACAUUGCGACUGCGAUACGGCCCAGACUCCUACGGGAGGCAGCAGUGGCGAAUAUUGCACAAUGGGCGGAAGCCUGAUGCAGCAACGCCGCGUGCGGGAUGACGGCCUUCGGGUUGUAAACCGCUUUCGCCUGUGACGAAGCGUGAGUGACGGUAAUGGGUAAAGAAGCACCGGCUAACUACGUG